Molecule: ribosomal RNA, 604 nt
Filed under: uncultured bacterium
Lineage: Bacteria
Description: bacterial SSU rRNA
Rfam family: Bacterial small subunit ribosomal RNA
Source: RNAcentral
CCUACGGGAGGCAGCAGUGGGGAAUAUUGCACAAUGGGCGCAAGCCUGAUGCAGCGACGCCGCGUGAGGGAUGACGGCCUUCGGGUUGUAAACCUCUUUCAGCAGGGACGAAGCGCAAGUGACGGUACCUGCAGAAGAAGCACCGGCCAACUACGUGCCAGCAGCCGCGGUAAUACGUAGGGUGCAAGCGUUGUCCGGAAUUACUGGGCGUAAAGAGCUCGUAGGCGGUUUGUCGCGUCGUCUGUGAAAACCAGCAGCUCAACUGUUGGCUUGCAGGCGAUACGGGCAGACUUGAGUAUUUCAGGGGAGACUGGAAUUCCUGGUGUAGCGGUGAAAUGCGCAGAUAUCAGGAGGAACACCGGUGGCGAAGGCGGGUCUCUGGGAAAUAACUGACGCUGAGGAGCGAAAGCGUGGGUAGCGAACAGGAUUAGAUACCCUGGUAGUCCACGCCGUAAACGGUGGGCGCUAGGUGUGGGUUUCCUUCCACGGGAUCCGUGCCGUAGCUAACGCAUUAAGCGCCCCGCUGGGGAUCGGCCGCAAGGCUAAAACGUCAAAAGAGUAGUGGACGUGNGAGACGCGACGACGACGACGACGGAGGAGGAGG